This 405-nucleotide ribosomal RNA is filed under the name uncultured bacterium. RNAcentral describes it as "bacterial SSU rRNA". It matches the Rfam family "Bacterial small subunit ribosomal RNA", at positions 355 to 775 of the family's 1533-position model. The record is from RNAcentral.
UGGGGAAUUUUCCGCAAUGGGCGAAAGCCUGACGGAGCAACGCCGCGUGGGUGAUGAAGGAUUUCGGUCUGUAAAGCCCUUUCGGUUGGGAAGAGACGAAGACGGUACCAACUAAAGAAGCAUCGGCUAACUACGUGCCAGCAGCCGCGGUAAUACGUAGGAUGCAAGCGUUAUCCGGAUUUAUUGGGCGUAAAGCGAACGUAGGCGGUUCGUUAAGUCUGGGGUUAAAGAUCAAGGCUCAACCUUGGGAAUGCCUCGGAAACUGACAGACUCGAGGGCGGAAGAGGAAAGUGGAAUUCCCAGUGUAGCGGUGAAAUGCGUAGAUAUUGGGAGGAACACCAGUGGCGAAAGCGACUUUCUGGUCCGUUCCUGACGCUGAGGUUCGAAAGCCAGGGGAGCAAACGG